This 73-nucleotide transfer RNA is filed under the name Microcaldota archaeon. RNAcentral describes it as "tRNA-Pro". It matches the Rfam family "tRNA". Rfam says of the family: Transfer RNA (tRNA) molecules are approximately 80 nucleotides in length. Their secondary structure includes four short double-helical elements and three loops (D, anti-codon, and T loops). The record is from RNAcentral. Lineage: Archaea; Nanobdellati; Microcaldota.
GGGGUCGUGGGCUAACCUGGUAGACUUCUGCCUUCGGGAGGCAGAGAUCUGAGUUCAAAUCUCGGCGACCCCA